ACGAUGGAGAGUUUGAUCCUGGCUCAGGAUGAACGCUAGCGGCAGGCCUAAUACAUGCAAGUCGAACGGUGCAGCAA
Molecule: ribosomal RNA, 77 nt
Filed under: Rudanella sp.
Lineage: Bacteria; Pseudomonadati; Bacteroidota; Cytophagia; Cytophagales; Cytophagaceae
Description: partial 16S ribosomal RNA
Rfam family: Bacterial small subunit ribosomal RNA
Source: RNAcentral